GACAGAGGAGCCAAGCGUUGUCCGGACUGACUGGGCGUAAAGCGCCCGCAGGCGGCCGUGCACGUGGGGUGUGAAAGCGCUCGGCUUAACUGAGCGAGGCCAUCCCAUACGGCGUGGCUCGAGCCGUCCAGAGGCCGGUGGAAUUGCCGGUGUAGUGGUGAAAUGCGUAGAGAUCGGGAGGAACACCCGUGGCGAAGGCGGCCAUCUGGACCAGCACUGACGCUGAGGCACGAAAGCGUGGGGAGCAAACAGG
RNAcentral lists this ribosomal RNA (253 nucleotides) under uncultured bacterium. Its description in RNAcentral is "partial 16S ribosomal RNA". It matches the Rfam family "Bacterial small subunit ribosomal RNA", at positions 524 to 776 of the family's 1533-position model. The record is from RNAcentral.